GUCUUUAUCGUCUAGUGGUUAGGACACCGCCCUUUCACGGCGGUAACACGGGUUCAAAUCCCGUUAAAGAUA
RNAcentral lists this transfer RNA (72 nucleotides) under Thalassiosira rotula. RNAcentral describes it as "tRNA-Glu". It matches the Rfam family "tRNA". From Rfam's summary of the family: Transfer RNA (tRNA) molecules are approximately 80 nucleotides in length. Their secondary structure includes four short double-helical elements and three loops (D, anti-codon, and T loops). The record is from RNAcentral. Lineage: Eukaryota; Bacillariophyta; Thalassiosirophyceae; Thalassiosirales; Thalassiosiraceae.